Long non-coding RNA from Apis laboriosa (Himalayan honeybee), 520 nucleotides. RefSeq lists it as uncharacterized. The record is from RefSeq and is a predicted model, not a curated record. The transcript is spliced from 2 exons. NCBI's taxonomy places the organism in Eukaryota, Metazoa, Arthropoda, Insecta, Hymenoptera, Apidae.
UCUAUAAAUAAUAUAUCUCAUGAAAUAAAAUACAUAUAAUAAAAUUUAAAUUAAAAAUAAUAUGAUAUCAUUUACUGAAUACAUUUUAAAGUGAAUAUAAUAAUCUCUAAUUUAACCUACAAGUAUUUUUAACCUAUAAGUAUAUGAAGUACAUAAAUAUCAUUACGAAUAAACUUUCUACGCGAUCUAUAUAGUAAUUUCCAUGACUCGAAGAAACAACAAGCGAAGACAUUUACUGUCAUGAUGCUGUAAUUCUCUUACGAGAACGGAAUGGCAACUUUCUUGCCACGCCUAAUGUCAAGAGCGCCAUUUUGUGUCCUACACUCUUUGUUCCAUCCAUUCUCUGUACCUGAUGUGUUCACUUACAAAAGGACAAGUUAAACAGUAACUCGAACUCGUGCAAGAUUAAUAUACUUUAAAUUUUCUUUACCGAAAAAUAAUCUUAACACCAAGAAAUUAAAUCUGAAUUAACAGAGAAAUUCGCUAUUAAAAAUUUCUUUAAACAAGAUAUUAUAGAAAA